CCUCUAAAAUUCUUUCUUUGAGAUACCCCUGGCAUCAAAAAACCCGAAAUUACCCCUACAACCCAACCCAGCCCAUAGACGGAUUUCAACAGAAUGCAAAACCAAUUCCCAAAUAAACCGUCCCUCCACUAUCAUAACCUACCAAAAAACCACUCGAAAAAUCAAACUUCUCUCUGCAAAAAAUUGCACCCAUAUUCUCGCUACCGAGAUUCACCGGAAAUGGCAAUCCAAACGAGGAAGGGCUAGUCAUCUUCAUAGACGGCAAUCCAAACAACCACAACUGCAGUCAACUUCCGCUCAUCAAUUUCAUAUACCAUCAACAGUAGUUACCUUCCAUCAAUGGUGAAGAAGACACUGGCAAAACGCCGUAAUCGAAAAGAAGAAAUGCUACAGAACGAAAACCUAGCAACAGAUACUGAAACAAAUGAACCAACAGACACACGUAAGAAGGGAAAAUGGACUUCAAAAUACCGAGCCAACAUGCCCUCAAUCGUGUCCUUCGAAGAUAUAAACCUACGACCACCCCACUAUGCAUGUCUUCGCCGUACUCCAUUCUAUCAUCUCGGUGUGCCAUUCGCAAAACACAAACUCAGCAGAGAUGACGUCCCAGGCACACAGAAUGGAACUUUCAAAAUAAUGACGUCAUACAGCAAAACAGACAGGGCAUUCCAUAUAGGAGGCAAAAAUAUCACAAUCACACCACAAGAUUGCAAGUUAAUCUUUGGCAUCCAAUCUGGCAACACACAAAUGACUUUUGACUGGUCAAGAAAGCCGCAACAAGGACUCGCAGCACGAAGAUUUGCUGCACACCCAUCCCUCCACCAAAAAACUUUGAAACACCAGCUACUUCAGUGCGUAGAUAGCGAUAACAAUGAAGACAUUGAAGAUGUGGUCAGAUUGAUGAUUCUACACCUUAUGUCAACUGUUCUUUUCAAUACUUCAGCUGAAAUCGAGUUCGGUGGAUGUUCAAGUACUGCAAUGAUAUAGAUCAAACAAAUGACUUCAACUGGGCCAGGGGGUAACUGAUUUCUUGGUUAAACAAAUCCACACAGCAAAAAAACGCGACAAAGUACAUGGUUGCAUACCACUUGUGCUGGACUUCGGCGGUGGGAUAUAUUCGAGCUUGCAUCUACACUGAGCGGCAAAGACAUGAACGAUAUCGAUCCACAACUCGUCAGUGAGAAUCCGCUGAUUCCAACAGCGCAAGAACAACAAAUCUUCGAUGGAAUUUUGGUCCUGGACGAUAUCAGCGAUGAACAUAACAACGACAGCAAUGCUAGUGUUCAUUAUGACACUGCUAAAGAUUCUAACGAGGAUGUCCAAAUCAAAACCUGGUACAAAAAGCGGCAGUCGUCAGAUGAACUCAAGAUCACCACCGAGCUGAAUGAAACAAAGAGGCUAUUGGAGCUAGAAACAAAACAAAUGACAAAACAUGAGGCCCAAGUGUCGCAACUGCAAGUUGUUGUAGAAGAACUUCAUAUGGAAAUAGUCAUGCUAAAAAACGACAAGCAGGUACUUGUUGACGAAAAUGCACAUGUCACUCUUCAACUUUCAAAACUACAGGAGGGUCACGCUUAACAAAGCUGAUGGACCGUCUUUCGAUAUCUUGAGCCAAACACAGACCAACCAGAGUGAGCUUCAAGAAAAAAUCAAAGAGAAUGCAGACUUGAAAGCAAUGAACGAAUCCCUCAUCAAACGUCAUGAAGAGAUGACAAAUGCUACAACAACUGUGCACACCGAAAAAUCUUUGUCGUUGACACAAGAGUUUGAAGCAGACAAUAUCUCAAUGACAAACAUGUAUGAGCACAGAACAAAUCGAAUCUUCUUAGAUGCUGAAAUCACCCUCCUAAAAUCAACUAAGAAGACUCAUCUUGAGAAAAUUAGAGAAAUGGAUGAAAAGAUAGCCGAGUUGGAAGCUAAUUGUGCAGAAUAUGCGUAGGCACUUGAUGAGCGCCGACCAGUUCAUCAUUCGGACAGCGACUUUGAGAUAUGUGAGGAAGAUAUCGAGGCCAAGAUAAACGACCCAAAAUCUGCAGUGGAAAAACGUACUAGGUCAAAAAAACAUAAAGUAACACCAUGUAGCACCAAUAAAGCACGUAGAGAUUUCAGAUACAAAAAAUACAACCCAUUCGUCGGCAUAAGUGCGAGAGACAAGGCAAUAAUAAACACAAUGGCAGAUCAAA
Non-coding RNA from Erythranthe guttata (spotted monkey flower), 2183 nucleotides. The record is from RefSeq and is a predicted model, not a curated record. Lineage: Eukaryota; Viridiplantae; Streptophyta; Magnoliopsida; Lamiales; Phrymaceae.